This 1895-nucleotide unclassified non-coding RNA is filed under the name Hevea brasiliensis (rubber tree). The record is from RNAcentral. Lineage: Eukaryota; Viridiplantae; Streptophyta; Magnoliopsida; Malpighiales; Euphorbiaceae.
UUGCAUUUCUGCUGAACUUUCACAGGUGUGUCUCAUACUCGAGCUCAUAUUUUGAGAGCCUGAACAAGCAUGAUGUUUGUGUGCAUUGUUCUCCUCUAAGUCGACUGCUUUGCAGCUUCCAUGAUCACCAUGCUUCAUUUCAUUCAUCAGCCUGUCAGCUGAGUCUGUGCACCUAUUAUUCCCACAUGAUAAUUUCACAUUUGGGUCAUCUGACUCGCAUAUUAAAGCACAGAUUUGCAAGUCUUGAGGUUUACACAUUUUUGGAAACUUUUGGUUUGAACAGCAAGGCUUUUGAUGAUGAGCUGAAUGCUCACUUUCACAUUUCUUAGUAUUUUCCACAGCUAAUGAUUUGCAGCAUUUUCCUCCAUUUUGGUGGGUUCCCCGUAAAAGCAGCAUGCUGUUAAAGAUCACUAGCAGACAAGUGCCGACAUCAGUAAGGACAGCAGCCCAAACAAGAGGGUGACCAGCAAAUGCCAAGGCAAGGAUAGCAGACUUGGUAGAUAUUGAGAGAAUGACAUUCUCGAUUACUUUCCUAUGAGCUUUUCUUGCAAGCUGGAUUGCUUUAGGUACUUUUCUAAUGUCAUUAGACAUAAGAAUGACAUGUCCUGUCUCAGUUGCAAGUGCUGAACCUGAAAUUCCCAUUGAGAUACCAAUAUCAGCUGUAGCCAAUGCAGGGGCAUCAUUUAAUCCAUCUCCAAUCAUUGCUGUUGGUCCUUCCUUCUUAAAUGUUUCCAAAAUCCUUGCCUUGUCUUCAGGCAGGAGUUCUGCAUGGACUACUUCAAGAGCAUGUCCUAGCUGUUCUUGAGCGUGCAUUGCUGCUGCUUGACUAUCUCCUGUUAGCAUAGCAGUUUUAAUGCCAUAUGACUUUAGCUCUGCGAUCGCCUCUGCAACACCAGUCCUACAGGCAUCAGAGAGGCUGAAAAUUCCAGCAGGGGUUGCUCCAGAGUACACAUAUCCAAUGGUCUUUCCUCUCUUCAUUUCCCCACUUUCUAGCUCUGGAGCUGUUCCACAUCCAGCUCUGAGAGCCAUCUUUCGAUUUCCAAUGUAAAUUUCUUUCUCAUCAAUCUUUCCAUAGAUGCCUUCUCCAGGAAAAUUCUGAAAAUCCACCACAUUCUCAGGGUUUGGCUCUACUGAAAGACUCCUUCCAUAGUCGACAAGAGCAGCGGCCAUUGGAUGACUUGACUUGCUCUCAAUGCUUGAUACCCAAUAAAGCAAUGUAUCAAUGCUCACACCUUCACAAAGAGAUUGGAAAUCUGUGACGACAAAUUCACCUUUUGUGAUAGUUCCAGUCUUAUCGAAAGCCAUUACCUUGAUCUUAGCAAGUAUUUCGAGAUAGGAUCCGCCUUUGAUCAAAACACCAGAUGUUGCAGCCCUUGUAAGUGCGCAGAAAGUUGCAACAGGUGUGGAGAGGAUAAGAGCACAUGGGCAUGCACUUACUAAAACCACCAAUGCUAAGCGAAACCAAUGCUUACGGUCAUGAACUCUUAAUGCCAAAGGAACAACUGCAAAGCUAACUGAUAUGAUUAUGACACCUGGAGUAUAAUACUGAGAAAUUUUGUCUAUAAAUCUUUGAGUUUUAGACUUGCUGCUUUGAGCUUCUUCCACAAGCUUUGCCAUUUUAGCUACCACACAGUCUUCAGCUAGAGCACUAGUUUUAAAACUAAUGUAGCCAUUNNNNNNNNNAUAGUGCCAGCCCAUACAGUAGAGUCCUUUUGUUUGGGAACUGGGAAUGAUUCUCCAGUUAAAGAUUUCUCAUCCACUUCACAAUUGCCAUCUACAACUAUUCCAUCAAUGGGUAUAGUCUCUCCAGCUUUGACUGCUAGAACAGUGUUUAAUUUUACCUCAUGAACAUCCACUUCUUCUCCAGUUUCAGCAAUGACUGCUUUCUGUGGAGC